CUGGAUGAAGGCUUCUACUCACAGCCCUUUCAAGCCAUUCGCGAAAGAUUUCAUGCGGCUUAGCCAAUUUGGCCGCACUACAAAGGGGAUGCAUGCAUGCGCCGAUGCUUUACAAGAAAAAGAAAAAAACCAUUGAAUCGUCGAGAAAGGUUCAUGAUUCUCAACUAGCAUGCCAUCUCAUGAACAAUGACAUAUAUAAAAAACAUUACGGUCGUCCAUGGUUUUCCAUCAGGAUAUCAAAUAUCAGCCAAAACACAAAUGGGAUAGCAAAGUAAUGCAAAACCAAAUUGCACGGAGAGAAUUGCAAUAGAGAGAUCCCACGCUCCCCCUUUCACUCCUCGUGCGUAACCGCCAUGUCCAAAACCUCCACCCUGCCCUUCCCCUUCGUCUCGCCUCCCACGAACUCACUCAGCCCCUUAAACGCGCCGGGCUCUGCAAAUCCAAUAACUUCCCAUUCCUCCACAUUCAGCACAUCUUGCACCUCGACCUGCUCGAAGUAGCUUAGGAUGCGAUCUUUGACAGUUCCAGAUGCCUUUGGCGCCGCAGCCUCAUGCAUCCCGUCAUCGUCAUCGUCGUCGCCUUGAGCAUGAGAAUUGGAACGGGAACGAGACUUUUUGCCCUUCUUAUGCCCACCUUUCGUCGGGGACGAACUGUGGUUCCCACCACCGCCACCAGAGCCAGGCGCAGAUUUCACCGCCUGUUUAAGAAUCGAUGUGGGGCAUGUGAUCCGCAGACGCAUCCGGGCACGCAUGACGGGGAUCGGUUGCCAGGCGAUCAGCGCCCUCAUAGCAUCCAGAGCCUGCGUCUUGGCGGAUUUUUUCGUUACAACACCGGUCCACAUCGGCUUUUUGGACGCUGUCUCGUCUUCCUGCGCAGCAGCAGUAGCAGCGGGCUCCUCGGCAGCAGGCACCGCAGCAUCAGGUGUAUCAACGGUCUCGGCAGCUUUGCCCUUUGCUGCUGCAGUGGCAGCACCGCCUUGCUGCCCGCUCGCUGCACUUAACUGAUCGAGCGCCUUCGAAAUCAUGCCGGUAGUGUAAACCCGCUUCGACACAGGGUCGACCAGCCUCGCACUGACGAUCUCGAUGACCUCCUUUUCAAUCCGUUCGAGGAUAUCUCUCCGCUCACGCUCGCCAACCUGCACCUCACCCUUGCGCAGAAUUUCCUGGAUUAUUUCAUCGCUGGACACCUUGGGGCCGAACGCCUUGGCUAGCUCUGCAGCGGGGGCUGUCUGGGCCUUGGAGACGGAGAGGAAGACCGUGGGGAUCUGAAGGACGUUGUCCAGGUCUGUUUCAGUGCCCGAGCGGUAUUCGAGGAGCUUGUUCUUGUAGCAAGCUAGCUCGAAGCGUUUCUUGCCUGGAGACAGUUUGUGGUUAGAUUUAAAGGAAAAAAGAUGAAGAAGAAGAAAAAUGAUUAGGGGAAACCUUUCUUCAACCGGACGAUAGAGACAUUCGUAAAUUUAAUCUGGUUUGAGGGCUGGUUUAUGCCUACAGGCAUUUUGAACGAGGUGAGGGGUAGUUCACGAGUCGUACGUUGUUUCGAGAGGGCGGGCCCUGUUUGAACGCUGAAGUAUCGAUGUAGGGGAUUCUAUACAGAGCGGCGACAACGAGUAUAAUGACUGGAGGGGUAUCUAUCGAGUCGAUAAAAGAAAAUAGUCCACAUGAAAUCGAAUACUGUCUUCAAUAUCAAAAACACUGAAUGGAGGGGAAAACGGAAUGCAAACAGAACAAACAUGAACUUGCUCGCGCUCAACCUAUCCUGGUGAUCUCGAAUCUAUCACCAAUACAGAGAACUAAUAGCCCAGUGUUCAAAAUAUCAGAUCUAGGUGACCGUGUUUAGAUUUGAAAGAUUCAGCGGCAUAUGUUAUCAGAUGCCCAGUAACGGAUUCGAACGGAUUUUAAGCCAAAUGAACGUUAUUGGACUAGACUUUCCGCUUCGCAUGUGUGUCUUGAUGAGGAAAACAGGGACUGCCACCCCAUAUAGAGGUAAUACUUUCAUCUACUCUGGAUGCUCGUUUCAUUCCAUUAUGUGAAUCUUUUGAAAGUCAUGCUUGUGAGAAUUGCCCAGUUCACCUCCACAGUACGGAUAAAUCGACAAACCAUUCGGCACCCUUUCAUGAACAGUGAGUCCAUUGGCGGGAAUGGGCCGUGUGGAAGGCUACAAGUUAUGGGUGAUGGUCGCAAUGUGUAACUACAUAGGACAGAGGUUUCUACACCCUAUGCAGAUGGGUGCUACGGAUCUCCAUGUUGGAACCUGUCAAGUCAAUAUUGUUAAGCAUUACUGCAGGGUCGUGUUUAUUUCAAUGGCCUUCUUUCAAAACUGUCCUGCCCAACAUUUAUUUCAUGAUUGAAACGUGCAAGGAUUCUUCUCUCUGGCAAGGGGAUUUAGCAGGUGUUCUUAGAGUUUUAUCAUUUAUCAUUGAAACUA
RNAcentral lists this small RNA (2424 nucleotides) under Histoplasma capsulatum. Its description in RNAcentral is "hypothetical RNA". The record is from RNAcentral. RNAcentral also lists the same sequence under 1 other name. Lineage: Eukaryota; Fungi; Ascomycota; Eurotiomycetes; Onygenales; Ajellomycetaceae.